AAAAUAGCGAAACCAAAACAAAUCAGGCCCUUUAAAGGGUGCGCUGCGACCACAAGAGGUCUCCUUCCGCGCGCCCGGCCGCUCGCCGCUCCGUCCCUGUCCGAGUGGCCCCCGCAGGGAGGAGAGUCGGGUGCACCACACCCCAGCCAGGCUCCGAGCAGGGCCCGCGGAGCGGGAACGGGAUGCGGCCGCGGCUGUGAGCGACAGGGACCGUCGGAUGCGGGGCUCCCGGCCGAGGAGACAGGUCGAACCUGGUCCGCUCCAGCGCUGUGGCCGCGGGGGCCUGUCGGGCACGGUGAGUGGCCGCUCUGGGGGCUCGGCUUUCUUUGUUCCGGUCCGAGCGCGACUGGGAGGGCGAUUGCCCCGCACCCCGAGAGCUGCCCGGUCCUGGUCCCGGCCCCCAGCUCCGGCCCGGGAUCACCAGCCGAUACCAAGAGAUGCUGGAGCGAUGAACAGGGGACGCGGCGCGCUAGCCCGGGUGCGGACCCGAGUGGACAGUCCCAGGCGGCGCACACUCGGAGCCAGUGAGUUUCCGUGGAUGCCAUGGGUGUGCAUCCGCUCACCACCCCAACUAGCAAUGGUGACAGUAUACACAAGACUCAUGCAAACUUAAUCAGACAAAAACCAGCAUAGAACUGGGGAAAUGAACAGAAAGCCGCAGCUUUGGUGAAGCCGAAACAUUUGUCUUGCAUUGGAGUCUGCUGUUCUUUGCUGGCCACUAGAAUAGUGGAAGAAGAAAGCAAUGUUCCAUCCAUCCAUGAUGUGAUCCGGAUCGGUCAGUGUAAAUGUACAGCUUCUGACAUCAAACAGAAAUAAUUUCAAAAAAUUGCACUAUGAACUGGAAGCUGCUACUGCCUUAAACUUUUUGCACUUAUACCAUAGUCUUGUAUUUUAUCAUACUUAGAAAGAUAACAGUGAAUAUAAGAAGUGCUUUGGGGUUUUUAGGCAUAGCAGGAGAGGAGCUGUGAGCCUGGCUGGACCUACAGGAUCUGCAAGAGUGAAGGUUUGGACAGCAGAGGCUUAUGCCUAAGAAGACUAGUGAGGACUCUUGUGAAGACAUGAGCUGUGGAGAGGAGAGUCUCAGCAGUUCCCCUCCCAGUGAUCAAAAGGGCACCUUCUUCUUUGACUUCAAAGUUGUGAGGCAUGGUGGCGCACUCCUUUCCAGCACUUGGGAGGCAGAGGCAGGUGGAUCUCUGUGAGUUCAAGGCCAGCCUAGUCUACAUAGUGAGUUCCAGGCCAGCUGGGGCU
Nannospalax galili (Upper Galilee mountains blind mole rat) is the source of this 1248-nucleotide RNA transcript. It is a transcript of the gene named cyclin G2, with no coding region annotated. The record is from RefSeq and is a predicted model, not a curated record. The transcript is spliced from 5 exons. NCBI's taxonomy places the organism in Eukaryota, Metazoa, Chordata, Mammalia, Rodentia, Spalacidae.